UUAAGCUACAAAGAGCGUAGGGAGAAUGCCUAGGUACCAAGAGCCGAAGAAGGACGUGAUAAGCUGCGAAAAGCCACGGGGAGGAGCAAAUAUCCAUCGAGCCGUGGAUGUCCGAAUGAGGGAACUCAUACAGUAAAAAAAGACUGUAUAUCCAUACAUGAGUAAAGUAGUGUAUAGGAAGGGAACGUGGGGAACUGAAACAUCUUAGUACCCAUAGGAAAAGAAAGUAACAACGAUUCCUGAAGUAGUGGCGAGCGAAACAGGAAGAGCCCAAACCAGAGGUAGUAAUACAUCUGGGGUUCGGAUUAUCAAUAAAGCCAAGAAUGAUGUUAGUAGAAUUACCAGGGAAGGUAAACCAAAGAAGGUGAAAGUCCUGUAUAUGAAAACAGAGUGAAGGCGAGAUAAAUCCAGAGUAGUGCGAGACACGAGAAAUCUCGUAUGAAAGAGCGGAGACCAUUCCGUAAGGCUAAAUACUACUUGGUAACCGAUAGAGAACAAGUACCGUGAGGGAACGGUGAAAAGGACCCCGGGAGGGGAGUGAAAUAGAACCUGAAACCCUAUGUUUACAAGCAGAUAGAGCGAUUUAAGGCGCGAUAUCGUACUUUUUGUAGAACGGUCCAGCGAGUUAUUGUAUAUGGCGAGGUUAAGUUCUGAAUAAGGAAUGGAGCCGAAGAGAAAUCGAGUCUGAAAAGGGCGAUAUAAGUCAUAUAUAAUAGACCCGAAACCGGGUGACCUAUCCAUGGUCAGGAUGAAGCUGAAGUAAAAUUCAGUGGAGGUCCGAACUGAUUGUCGUUAAAAAGGCACCGGAUGAACUGUGGAUAGCGGAGAAAUUCCAAUCGAACUCGGAGAUAGCUGGUUCUCCUCGAAAUAGCUUUAGGGCUAGCCUUGAGGUCAAAGAAUUAUGGGGGUAGAGCACUGAAUGAGGUAGGGGCCAAACCAGGUUACCGAACUCUAUCAAACUGCGAAUACCAUAAUUAGAAUACUCAGGAGUCAGACUGCGGGAGCUAAGUUCCGUGGUCAAAAGGGAAAGAGCCCAGACCGUCAAUUAAGGUCCCAAAGAUAUAGUUAAGUGGAAAACGAUGUGAUUUUGCAUAAACAACCAGGAUGUUGGCUCAGAAGCAGCCACUCAUUCAAAGAGUGCGUAACAGCUCACUGGUCGAGUGAAGUUGCGCGGAAAAUUACCGGGGCUAAACUAUACACCGAAAUUUCGGAUUUACAUAUGAAAAUAUGUAAGUGGUAGAGGAGCAUUCUGUAGUAGGACGAAGUCAAAGCGAAAGCAUUGGUGGACGAGGCAGAAGAGAGAAUGCUGGAAUAAGUAGCGAGAGCAAGGUGAGAAUCCUUGCCGUCGAAAGUCUAAGGUUUCCUGGGGAAGGUUCGUCCGCCCAGGGUAAGUCGGGGCCUAAGGAGAGGCCGAAAGGCGUAUCUGAUGGAUAGCAGGUGGAAAUUCCUGCACUAUAGCUAGUUUUAAAAGAUGCAAGGGACGCAGUAGAGGAAGAUAACCAAGGAAGAGGAAAGAUUUGGUCCGCAAGGGAUAGUGAAAAUUAAUAGUAACGAAAUAUCAAGAAUCACACUGACGAGAAAAGCUUGUAGAUAUUAACUAGAAAUACCCGUACCGCAAACCGACACAGGUAGAUGAGGAGAGGAUCCUAAGACGAGCGGGAGAAGCAUUGUUAAGGAACUCGGCAAAAUAACCCCGUAACUUCGGGAGAAGGGGAGCCUAAGUAAAAUUAGGUCGCAGAGAAAAGGCCCAAGCAACUGUUUAACAAAAACACAGGUUUCUGCUAAAUCGAAAGAUGAAGUAUAGGAGCUGACGCCUGCCCAGUGCUGGAAGGUUAAGGGAAAGAGUUAGGUGUAAAUCGAAGCUUAGAACUAAAGCCCCAGUGAACGGCGGCCGUAACUAUAACGGUCCUAAGGUAGCGAAAUUCCUUGUCAGGUAAGUUCUGACCCGCACGAAAGGCGUAAUGAUUUGGGCACUGUCUCGACAAUGUACCCGGCGAA
RNAcentral lists this ribosomal RNA (1998 nucleotides) under metagenome. RNAcentral's name for it is "bacterial LSU rRNA". It matches the Rfam family "Bacterial large subunit ribosomal RNA", at positions 3 to 2040 of the family's 2925-position model. The record is from RNAcentral.